This 721-nucleotide long non-coding RNA is filed under the name Equus caballus (horse). RNAcentral describes it as "lncRNA (ENSECAG00000059494.1)". The record is from RNAcentral. Lineage: Eukaryota; Metazoa; Chordata; Mammalia; Perissodactyla; Equidae.
CCGUGGCAGCGCUGGGAUUCGAGCCCAGAUCUGUCUGCCCCGAGCCCGGGAGCUCUCCCUCGCCUCCCGCGUCUGGCUCCAGAUGCUACCCGAGGUCUCCGCCAGCCCGCCCUUCUCUCCCUGGGAGGGAGUCCGCCGGAGGACGGGCUGCCCGGGCCUUUCCGGCGAUCGCUGCGGGCAACAGCAGCGUCAAUUCCACCAACGCCACCGCCAAUUCCAGCAGCACCUCCGUUUGACAGAUGAGCAAACUGAGACCUGGCUCUCCAACCCCGAGAUGUCCUAAGGCCCAGCCUGACUCUCCUCCAAGACCUACUAACUCCUACUUGCUGUGUGCCCUUGGAUGAGUCCUGGUCCUCUCUGGGCCUCAGCUUCCUCAUCUGUAAAUGAGGCGGUAGAUGCACCUGCCAUCCGAGAUGCCUCCCGCUCUAGCUUCCAGGAGUGCAGUGAGUGGCGUGGCCAGGCCCGUGGGAGUGAUGGAGAGCACACCCACAUAAUUCAAGAUGUCUGCAUUUAUGAAGCACCUUCCCUGUGUCGGCUCCUACACCUGCAGAGCCUCAGACUAUCCUCAGUUCAACCCUAGGAAAGAGAAACAGGGUCGUCCCCUCUCGCAGAGGGAAGUUGAGGUUUCAAGGUGUGAAGUCACGUGCUUUUUGUCUCACAGCUGGGAUUCGAACCCAGGCCCCCGAUCUGAGCGCCUUCUGUUACACUCUGCCACCACCCC